GUCCAAGCGGUAAACGAUGGGUACUAGAUGCUGGGGGUAUCGACCCCCCAGUGUCGCAGCUAACGCAAUAAGUACCCCGCCUGGGGAGUACGAUCGCAAGAUUGAAACUCAAAGGAAUUGACGGGGGCCCGCACAAGCGGUGGAGUAUGUGGUUUAAUUCGAUGCAACGCGCAGAACCUUACCUGGGUUUGACAUGCACGGGACCGGCGGUGAAAGUCGCCCUCUCCUUCGGGAGUCCGUGCACAGGUGCUGCAUGGCUGUCGU
RNAcentral lists this ribosomal RNA (264 nucleotides) under uncultured bacterium. RNAcentral's name for it is "partial 16S ribosomal RNA". It matches the Rfam family "Bacterial small subunit ribosomal RNA", at positions 793 to 1055 of the family's 1533-position model. The record is from RNAcentral.